CCUACGGGGGGCAGCAGUGGGGAAUAUUGGACAAUGGGGGGAACCCUGAUCCAGCCAUGCCGCGUGUGUGAAGAAGGCCCUCGGGUUGUAAAGCACUUUCAGUGAGGAAGAACGCCUGGUGGUUAAUACCCAUCAGGAAAGACAUCACUCACAGAAGAAGCACCGGCUAACUCCGUGCCAGCAGCCGCGGUAAUACGGAGGGUGCGAGCGUUAAUCGGAAUUACUGGGCGUAAAGCGCGCGUAGGUGGCUUGAUAAGCCGGUUGUGAAAGCCCCGGGCUCAACCUGGGAACGGCAUCCGGAACUGUCAAGCUAGAGUGCAGGAGAGGAAGGUAGAAUUCCCGGUGUAGCGGUGAAAUGCGUAGAGAUCGGGAGGAAUACCAGUGGCGAAGGCGGCCUUCUGGACUGACACUGACACUGAGGUGCGAAAGCGUGGGUAGCAAACAGGAUUAGAUAUCCUGGUAGUC
This 465-nucleotide ribosomal RNA is filed under the name Vreelandella stevensii. RNAcentral's name for it is "partial 16S ribosomal RNA". It matches the Rfam family "Bacterial small subunit ribosomal RNA", at positions 338 to 795 of the family's 1533-position model. The record is from RNAcentral. Lineage: Bacteria; Pseudomonadati; Pseudomonadota; Gammaproteobacteria; Oceanospirillales; Halomonadaceae.